Molecule: ribosomal RNA, 497 nt
Filed under: uncultured bacterium
Lineage: Bacteria
Description: partial 16S ribosomal RNA
Rfam family: Bacterial small subunit ribosomal RNA
Source: RNAcentral
GAUGAACGCUGGCGGCGUGCCUAAUACAUGCAAGUCGAGCGAACAGACGAGGAGCUUGCUCCUCUGACGUUAGCGGCGGACGGGUGAGUAACACGUGGAUAACCUACCUAUAAGACUGGGAUAACUUCGGGAAACCGGAGCUAAUACCGGAUAAUAUAUUGAACCGCAUGGUUCAAUAGUGAAAGACGGUUUUGCUGUCACUUAUAGAUGGAUCCGCGCCGCAUUAGCUAGUUGGUAAGGUAACGGCUUACCAAGGCGACGAUGCGUAGCCGACCUGAGAGGGUGAUCGGCCACACUGGAACUGAGACACGGUCCAGACUCCUACGGGAGGCAGCAGUAGGGAAUCUUCCGCAAUGGGCGAAAGCCUGACGAAGCAACGCCGCGUGAGUGAUGAAGGUCUUCGGAUCGUAAAACCCUGUUAUUAGGGAAGAACAAAUGUGUAAGUAACUAUGCACGUCUUGACGGUACCUAAUCAGAAAGCCACGGCUAACUACGUG